This 213-nucleotide unclassified non-coding RNA is filed under the name soil metagenome. RNAcentral describes it as "partial contains 5.8S ribosomal RNA, internal transcribed spacer 2, and large subunit ribosomal RNA". The record is from RNAcentral.
AACAUCGCGCACCUGCGGGAACCUGCGGAAGGAUCAUUACAGAGUUAUCCAACUCCCAAACCCAUGUGAACUUAUCUCUUUGUUGCCUCGGCGCAAGCUACCCGGGACCCCGCGCCCCGGGCGGCCCGCCGGCGGACAAACCAAAACUCUUGUUAUCUUAGUUGAUUCUCUGAGCGUCUUAUUUAAUAAGUCAAAACUUUCAACAAUGGAUCU